This 817-nucleotide unclassified non-coding RNA is filed under the name Polistes fuscatus (common paper wasp). RNAcentral's name for it is "uncharacterized LOC122516845, transcript variant X2". Lineage: Eukaryota; Metazoa; Arthropoda; Insecta; Hymenoptera; Vespidae. The record is from RNAcentral.
GUCUAAAGUGACUGUAGAAGCCUUUUUUAAGUUGUCGCCUAAACCGUUGACGUAAGGAGGUACGAAAUUUUGAUCUGAGCAGUAUUCACCAUGAGUUCGGAGAAAAGAAAAACGAAUUACGAUGAGAAACAGUUGGAGCAGGCAAUGAAUGAAGUGAAGGCAGGUAUUCCUGUGCGAACAGCUGCUAUGAAGUUUCAUAUCCAAAGACUAUGCUACUAUAUAAAAGCUGCGGACAACUAUCACCAGGUAUUGACAAACCAGGACCAGAAUGUGUGUUAGGACAAGAUAACGAAAAAUAUCUUGUUGAAUGGAUUUUUUAUAUGAAGAAGCAUGGAUUUCCUAUAAAAAAGGCACAACUGUUGAAUAGUGUUUGCAUGUUAUUGAACACUAUGGAAAAAGAAACAAUAUUGUCAAAUAAUAUGUCUGGUCGACACUGGUAUAACGGUAUCAGUGAGAGAAUUGCUCAAAACCGAGCCGCAGUGUCGGAAGAAAAGAUCAGAGCCUGGUUUCAAGAAGCUUAACCCGAAAGGGAAUUCAAUUCUCGCGACGAAAGGUGACAAGACUGUCUACAAUAUCGUCAGAAACGAUGAAAAAGAAUGUUUAACAACGUUAAUUUGUAGAAAUGCUGCCGGAAAAAUGCUUCCACCAAUGGUACUAUUUCCAUAUAAGAGAAUUCCACGUAAUAUCAUCACCAGUAUUCCAAAAGAUUGGGGGAUUGGAUGCUUUGAUAGUGGAUGGAUGACGGCAGAAGGAUUUUUUAAUUAUGUAGCUAAUGUAUUUCAUUCUUGGUUAUUAAAAAGUAAAAUAACAUUUCCAA